Molecule: small nucleolar RNA, 142 nt
Organism: Apodemus sylvaticus (European woodmouse)
Lineage: Eukaryota; Metazoa; Chordata; Mammalia; Rodentia; Muridae
Product: small nucleolar RNA SNORA48
Exons: 1
Source: RefSeq, a predicted model, not a curated record
UGCCCUAUCAAUGGGCAAAGAGACACUUGGUUGGAAUGCUGUUCUUAUAUCACGCAGGGGCAGAGCAUGUGGCAGUUCUUUGUCCUUCAUCUUGAGAUACUUGGCUUAUCAGCCAAAUCUGUUUUAUGCCUAAGACACAUAA